Molecule: ribosomal RNA, 447 nt
Filed under: uncultured bacterium
Lineage: Bacteria
Description: bacterial SSU rRNA
Rfam family: Bacterial small subunit ribosomal RNA
Source: RNAcentral
AGGCCAGACUCCUACGGGAGGCAGCAGUGGGGAAUAUUGCACAAUGGGGGAAACCCUGAUGCAGCGACGCCGCGUGAGUGAAGAAGUAUUUCGGUAUGUAAAGCUCUAUCAGCAGGGAAGAAGUUGACGGUACCUGAGUAAGAAGCCCCGGCUAACUACGUGCCAGCAGCCGCGGGAAUACGUAGGGGGCAAGCGUUAUCCGGAUUUACUGGGUGUAAAGGGAGCGUAGACGGCAGUGCAAGUCUGAAGUGAAGGCCCCGGGCUUAACCCGGGAAUUGCUUUGGAAACUGUACGGCUGGAGUGCUGGAGAGGUAAGUGGAAUUCCUAGUGUAGCGGUGAAAUGCGUAGAUAUUAGGAGGAACACCAGUGGCGAAGGCGGCUUACUGGACUGUAACUGACGUUGAGGCUCGAAAGCGUGGGGAGCAAACAGGAUUAGAUACCCUUGUA